UUAAGUUAUUAAGGGCGCACGGUGGAUGCCUUGGCACUAGAAGCCGAUGAAGGACGUUACUAACGACGAUAUGCUUUGGGGAGCUGUAAGUAAGCUUUGAUCCAGAGAUUUCCGAAUGGGGAAACCCAGCAUGAGUUAUGUCAUGUUAUCGAUAUGUGAAUACAUAGCAUAUCAGAAGGCACACCCGGAGAACUGAAACAUCUUAGUACCCGGAGGAAGAGAAAGAAAAUUCGAUUCCCUUAGUAGCGGCGAGCGAAACGGGAAGAGCCCAAACCAACAAGCUUGCUUGUUGGGGUUGUAGGACACUCUAUACGGAGUUACAAAGGACGACAUUAGACGAAUCAUCUGGAAAGAUGAAUCAAAGAAGGUAAUAAUCCUGUAGUCGAAAAUGUUGUCUCUCUUGAGUGGAUCCUGAGUACGACGGAGCACGUGAAAUUCCGUCGGAAUCUGGGAGGACCAUCUCCUAAGGCUAAAUACUCUCUAGUGACCGAUAGUGAACCAGUACCGUGAGGGAAAGGUGAAAAGCACCCCGGAAGGGGAGUGAAAUAGAACCUGAAACCGUGUGCUUACAAGUAGUCAGAGCCCGUUAAUGGGUGAUGGCGUGCCUUUUGUAGAAUGAACCGGCGAGUUACGAUUUGAUGCAAGGUUAAGCAGUAAAUGUGGAGCCGUAGCGAAAGCGAGUCUGAAUAGGGCGUUUAGUAUUUGGUCGUAGACCCGAAACCAGGUGAUCUACCCUUGGUCAGGUUGAAGUUCAGGUAACACUGAAUGGAGGACCGAACCGACUUACGUUGAAAAGUGAGCGGAUGAACUGAGGGUAGCGGAGAAAUUCCAAUCGAACCUGGAGAUAGCUGGUUCUCUCCGAAAUAGCUUUAGGGCUAGCCUCAAGUGAUGAUUAUUGGAGGUAGAGCACUGUUUGGACGAGGGGCCCCUCUCGGGUUACCGAAUUCAGACAAACUCCGAAUGCCAAUUAAUUUAACUUGGGAGUCAGAACAUGGGUGAUAAGGUCCGUGUUCGAAAGGGAAACAGCCCAGACCACCAGCUAAGGUCCCAAAAUAUAUGUUAAGUGGAAAAGGAUGUGGCGUUGCCCAGACAACUAGGAUGUUGGCUUAGAAGCAGCCAUCAUUUAAAGAGUGCGUAAUAGCUCACUAGUCGAGUGACACUGCGCCGAAAAUGUACCGGGGCUAAACAUAUUACCGAAGCUGUGGAUUGUCCUUUGGACAAUGGUAGGAGAGCGUUCUAAGGGCGUUGAAGCAUGAUCGUAAGGACAUGUGGAGCGCUUAGAAGUGAGAAUGCCGGUGUGAGUAGCGAAAGACGGGUGAGAAUCCCGUCCACCGAUUGACUAAGGUUUCCAGAGGAAGGCUCGUCCGCUCUGGGUUAGUCGGGUCCUAAGCUGAGGCCGACAGGCGUAGGCGAUGGAUAACAGGUUGAUAUUCCUGUACCACCUAUAAUCGUUUUAAUCGAUGGGGGGACGCAGUAGGAUAGGCGAAGCGUGCGAUUGGAUUGCACGUCUAAGCAGUAAGGCUGAGUAUUAGGCAAAUCCGGUACUCAUUAAGGCUGAGCUGUGAUGGGGAGAAGACAUUGUGUCUUCGAGUCGUUGAUUUCACACUGCCGAGAAAAGCCUCUAGAUAGAAAAUAGGUGCCCGUACCGCAAACCGACACAGGUAGUCAAGAUGAGAAUUCUAAGGUGAGCGAGCGAACUCUCGUUAAGGAACUCGGCAAAAUGACCCCGUAACUUCGGGAGAAGGGGUGCUCUUUAGGGUUAACGCCCAGAAGAGCCGCAGUGAAUAGGCCCAAGCGACUGUUUAUCAAAAACACAGGUCUCUGCUAAACCGUAAGGUGAUGUAUAGGGGCUGACGCCUGCCCGGUGCUGGAAGGUUAAGAGGAGUGGUUAGCUUCUGCGAAGCUACGAAUCGAAGCCCCAGUAAACGGCGGCCGUAACUAUAACGGUCCUAAGGUAGCGAAAUUCCUUGUCGGGUAAGUUCCGACCCGCACGAAAGGCGUAACGAUUUGGGCACUGUCUCAACGAGAGACUCGGUGAAAUCAUAGUACCUGUGAAGAUGCAGGUUACUCGCGACAGGACGGAAAGACCCCGUGGAGCUUUACUGUAGCCUGAUAUUGAAAUUCGGCACAGCUUGUACAGGAUAGGUAGGAGCCUUUGAAACGUGAGCGCUAGCUUACGUGGAGGCGCUGGUGGGAUACUACCCUAGCUGUGUUGGCUUUCUAACCCGCACCACUUAUCGUGGUGGGAGACAGUGUCAGGCGGGCAGUUUGACUGGGGCGGUCGCCUCCUAAAAGGUAACGGAGGCGCUCAAAGGUUCCCUCAGAAUGGUUGGAAAUCAUUCAUAGAGUGUAAAGGCAUAAGGGAGCUUGACUGCGAGACCUACAAGUCGAGCAGGGUCGAAAGACGGACUUAGUGAUCCGGUGGUUCCGCAUGGAAGGGCCAUCGCUCAACGGAUAAAAGCUACCCCGGGGAUAACAGGCUUAUCUCCCCCAAGAGUUCACAUCGACGGGGAGGUUUGGCACCUCGAUGUCGGCUCAUCGCAUCCUGGGGCUGUAGUCGGUCCCAAGGGUUGGGCUGUUCGCCCAUUAAAGCGGUACGCGAGCUGGGUUCAGAACGUCGUGAGACAGUUCGGUCCCUAUCCGUCGUGGGCGUAGGAAAUUUGAGAGGAGCUGUCCUUAGUACGAGAGGACCGGGAUGGACAUACCUCUGGUGUACCAGUUGUCGUGCCAACGGCAUAGCUGGGUAGCUAUGUGUGGACGGGAUAAGUGCUGAAAGCAUCUAAGCAUGAAGCCCCCCUCAAGAUGAGAUUUCCCAACUUCGGUUAUAAGAUCCCUCAAAGAUGAUGAGGUUAAUAGGUUCGAGGUGGAAGCAUGGUGACAUGUGGAGCUGACGAAUACUAAUCGAUCGAAGACUUAAUCAA
This 2921-nucleotide ribosomal RNA is filed under the name Staphylococcus aureus. Its description in RNAcentral is "23S ribosomal RNA". It matches the Rfam family "Bacterial large subunit ribosomal RNA". The record is from RNAcentral. Lineage: Bacteria; Bacillati; Bacillota; Bacilli; Caryophanales; Staphylococcaceae.